CCGGUUGGCACAUCGCUCCGUGACUCACCCCGUUGCCUUUUUAUCACAUGUGCUCACCUGCCCCCGAGUUCUGUGACACAGAGUGCUUCCUGCUGGCAGCACCGGGACACGUGUGGCCGUGGAGCCCGGGAUGGUGCCAGCGCUCAGCCGUUCUGCAGUGCUCCGAAGUGCUGUCACUGCUCGGUGCCACCAGAGCCACCAACACGCACAGUGACCUCGGGGUCACAGGGGCUGCUCACCAGGAUCCUUCCCAGAGCCGCUGCCAGUGCUGUCCCUGCCCUCAGCUCGGAGCUGCGGAGCCCGGAGGAGCCCAGCCCCGCGGCUGUGUGCUUUGCUUUAGGAAAUUCCGGGAGAAAAAUAUAUAUAUCUGCAUUUCCCUCUGGGUUCCUCACUUCUGGCUUUAUUGCAGUGGUUACCUCUCCUCUCCUCUGCUCUUUGUGCUGUGCCGUGUUUGGAUGCAGCCAGACUGGAGCAGAGGGGUGGGUGUGAGGGGAGGGCACAGGGAUGCUGGGCAGGGGUGGACGCUGGGCAGGCCUCUCCCUUCCAAUGCUGGUUAGUGCCUUUCCCUUGGAUAAAGGGAUGCUGUGGAAAAGGCUGAAAAGACUGCAGGUCCAAUUCUUGCUCCACAGGCGGCAAUGCAAACGGAAGACAAUGUUACUGCAGGCAGUACAGUUCCACGGGUGUAAAACGGGUCUGGGAGGCGGCGGAAUCGGUGCCCACCUCUGUGAACAUCUGCGUGGUAUUGACAAAGCUGUUCGUGUCACUGAACCAAUUUAACUAGGGAGCUUUUGUCAUCCACAGUACAUUAUGCUGAGAGGAGACCAAGGUGACAGGUGCAGUAAAAUAAACACUCUGAUACUAUGGUGAUGGAGACCGUAUAAAUACCUGGAUAGGAAAAAACAACAGAGCUGCGCUCCAGCAGAUCCGCACAGUAACCCCCCGUGUCUCCGCGUGUGAAGAAAGAACGAGAAGAUAUGAUCGAGAAUUCAGCUUUCCCAGAACCACUGAAUCAUGCAGCGUUCCCCGUGGCUGAUUUAUCGCUCUGUAGAUGGAAAGAGCUGAGCGCAGCUAUCCGGGCCGCUCGGAGGUGGUGUGGUGCUGAGCAGGAGCCAGCAGGAACAUUUGCGUCUGUGCUUCGGAGGAUUUUGGACAGCCUGCGGUGCCCCCCCUGGGGCCAGCAGUCCUCUUGGGCCAGCAUCCAGCGCAGAGCUGCUGCUCAGAGGUGUUCAGCCCCAGCCCCACUUUGCCACUGAUGUGCAAAGGGCACUUUGGAAGUGGAUGUCUGUGAUCCCAGGGGCCGGACGCAGAGCAGGGAGUGGAAGCUCUCUCUCCUGUUUGUGGAAGCGGCUGCACACGAACCAUCCUCCUUGGGGGGAAUGCUGAUUCCACAGCUAAGUCUCCUCUGUGCAAUAUGAUCCAUUAUGGGAUGGAGACAGCUUUGCGAUGGGAAACGGUAAUGGGCAAAGCGAGAAGUGCAGUUGGUGCCUCUGGGGGAUGGCAGAGCCGACGUCCCCGGGGCUCAUUGCUGCAGCCCCGCUCCCCGUGUGCCCGGAUGUGGCACCAGGAUGGGUGCUGGGAACGCAGCAAGGACAGCACCCGGCUCUGUGUGGUGCCACGUGUGGGGUGAGCCCCAUGCCCUGUGCAGCACAGUGAGGGCCGGGAGGUGAGCGCACACCGCCCCGCUGAAGGCUGCAGAGCUGUGCAUAUGCAGAAUAUGUAUUUUUAAUGCCUUCAAAAAUUUACAGAUCUCAUUAGGACAGCCUGAGCGGGGCGUGGAGUCAGUGCAAAUGCACCGCCUGGAAGAUGGAGUAUUCCCUCCUGUAACAGACCAACACUUUGGACCGGAGUUCUGAAAUCUGCUGCAUUUUGCUGCAGUCUUUCUUUGCAGAUCUCUCCCUCUCCAUUUCUCUCUGUCUCUCUCACACACAUUCGGUCUCUCCUCCUUUUUCCUUCCCUCUCUUUCAUCGUUCCCAUCUCAGAAGUCAGUUUCCUCCUGAAAUGCCUGACAUUUACAUCCAGCCAGAACGAGGAGUGUGCUCCUUGUGCCGGCACAUCAGCGCUGCUAUAGGGGCACAGGUCCUUUCAUUACAAAUAAUUAAUUUAACCAUACAUUGCAUAACAUCCUAAAAAGCUUUCUAGGGCAAUCUCAUGCUAGCUGGAUGCACAGCUCCUAUCAAUAUUACAUUACAUUUGGGUACAACCGUUAUGAAGUUUCAUUAAAAAUUUAAUUUGUGGUUUAAAACUGCAGCGUUCCCUACAAAGUGUGGCAGAGAAACCAUUCUGGCUGCUCGAGGUCUGCUCCUGCAUCAGCCAGGACUGCAGGAGAGCUGCAGCAGGGGCCGGGGCUCGGGGUGGCGCUCCCUGUGCUGGCACACACACCAAGAAUCGUUUUACCAUCAGCUGAGCUGUCCUACAGCAGGAACUGGGAGCCGGGAGGGGGAAUGGGGCCCGCCGUCAUGUUUUGUUAAUGAAGUUCUGUUGUGAAUCUUCGGCAGAAGCUUUGAAUGGAGGGCAGGUCUGAAGCAUCCCACAUCCGCCUCUCCGUUUCGGAAUUGAUUUGUACGGUAACUUCUGUCCCUCUCUGCAGGCACCAGAAGGACCAAUGGCUUUUCCUCCGAGAUGGUCCCUGGGCUCUUUUCUGUCCGGGAUUUCCCAGGGUAGGAGGCAGACGACUGCUGUGCAUGCAGCUCCCUGCGCCGUGGGUCUGCCCUCCCCCCCUACCCCAUCCUCCCUGCACUGAGCCAGGCACAAACCUUGGCUCCAUUUAUUAUAACAAACAGCACCGGUUGGUUUUUUCCCUGCCCAACAAAGGAGGGGACAUUUGUAACAGGCGUGGGGCAUUUCAGCAGCCUGCGCAGUCCUGGUGUGUGCUCGAGGUCUCUGCACAAGAUUGCUUCCCCCUGCUGCAGAGAGGAUAAUAAUGGGGAGUGGGUUCCUAAAUCCCUUAAGCUUCUUUGAUAGCUUCAAUAUUUAUCCAUAAUCCUGCUGGUGCUCCGUACAGAAGCAGCCAGGGCCUGGUCCCACCUUGCAGCAUUCCCUUUCCCCAGGAGGAAGGCAGGGCGGGACAGGAGGGAAACAUCAAAAGCCACAGACACUGUUGUGCCCCAGUUUCUUCCUGCGAUUACUUAUUAUUUUGCACAGUCUCUUGCUCUCCUUCUCCCACGCUCUGUGCUCUGUUAUGGUAAUGUCUGUGGAGGCUGGGCAUGCCUCCGUGCCUGAAGGGAGGACGGACAGAUGGCAGGACGGCUCUGAGGGGGUUCCAAGCACGUAUGGGGUGGGGGACGGCUUGUGGGUGUCCGCAGGUCUGUGCACACGGGUGUCCUGUGAGCCCUGAGCAGGGAGCUCUGCCUGCACGCAGGGAGGAGCUGGCAGAGAGCUCUGCUGGCGCUGGAGGGGCAGCUGCUGCCUGUGCCACAGCCACUCUGUGCUGCUGCUGGGGAUAGCUUGGAACACCUGGAUUGAAAUGCAGCAAGGCUUUCAAGGCAGGAUAGGUAAAAAUGCCAUAAUGCAGUAGGAAGUCAUUGCAUUUGCCUGCUGUGGGGCACGGCCCUUCUCUAAAGCAUAGCUUUUAGUAGGGGAGUGGAGCUCUUAUGACAUUGAAGGUUCUCUGCCGGCAAGGAUGCCAUUAGGGCUGGGUAUGCUAUUGAUUCCUCUUCCAAGAUAUAAGGCUUAAGAAGCUGCAGAUAGUGGGUGUAACUGGAAUGACCCGGGAGCUGCUGCCAGGCGGUAAGCGGAGCCGGAGGCGUCCGGCUGUGAGCAGAGCUGGAGCUUCCCAGGCUGACACUGCAGCGAGAGGCCGGAGCCCAGCGAGGCCACAGGCAGCACUGGGAUGGGCAGUGGGGACAGUGGGUGAUCUUCAGGAGGUGAAGGACUGCAGACCUCUGAGCUCCUCAGCACCCGGGGCGUGCAUGGUUCUGUUGGCGUUUCUCACAGCGCUUUGCACUUUGCUUCGAGAAUUGGAUGCCAUCCAAACUUGAGAACAUCAGCACUGCCCUGCUUUGACUCAAGUACAGUAGCAACGCUGCCAGUAUGUGGUCUGUGGGUCUGAUUGCCUUUUGCUGUUAUUUAGGAGGGCUUUUCUGCAUGGCACACGCAAAAUAAGUGACACUGCAAACCUAGACUACGCUAGCUGCACUGCAUUGCUUCCAAGGACAGAAGCUCUUGGCAUGGUCCUUGGAAGCGGAGUGAGCUUCUCAUGCUUGCCACAUCCUGACUGCUCAAUCAGCAGUUUAAUGGGAAGUCAUUAGUGUACUAUAAAUUCAUACAUUAGAUUUAUGUAGUGCUUAUUUUACCACGUAGAGACGCCUUUGCUUUCCAGCUGUAUGGACGUUCCCCUGUGUAAAUGAGAAGAUCGUGUAUAUAUUCAUCCUGCUUCCAUUAAUUAUAAUAAGUCGAGUCACAUUAUUUCUUAGAAGCCUGCUGGAAUCUCAGCAGUGCCACAGCAGCCAUCAAACCCACCGAAACCUGCAAAAUCAGUGCUGAGUGUUGUGUCACUCUGUAUUGGGAGCUUGGGUUUGAAAUAUCCUGGGAAUAAGGAAAAGGUUUCAAGUGGUUUGUUUUGAGGGAAUGGUAAAAAAAAAAGGAACUGUAGAAUCGUGCUCCUUCCAUGGAUGAUUACAUCUCUCAUGCGUAGGAAGAGGUUUUUGUUUUUUGCCAAGGGUAAGGACGUUACUGGGGAACACUACGUGGACCAGCCUGGGCUGCGUGCUCCGCUCAGGGUUUGUUUGGUUGGAUCCAGGUCUCUUGGCUGUUGCCUCCUCUUUGCUCAUCGUAAAACCAAACCUUUGUGGUUCUGACUGAAGCAGUCUGUGUGUUGUUGUGCCGGAUAUUUCACAAGGCUGUUCCAAUUGCCGAACUCGGGAAGAAGGCAGAGUAAGAGAACUUCCCAGCAACAUCCUGUGAAAUGCUGAAUUACUUCUAAUUAAGCAGUUCCGUUCUGGUUAAAGGGAAUGUCAAGUCAGGUCUGUGCUCUGUGGAGAGGUGCACCUGCAGAAAGGUGUAUCAGCAAAUGGAUGUUCGGUUGGAGUGCUUUAACAGGCUCAGAAGGAGCCAGCAGAACUCUCGGCUUCUAUUUCUGGUGCACUGGGGUUGUUCUGUCGCUGAGUCAGAGCUGAUAGGAUCUGCUGAUAGCAGCUACAGAGUGGUUAAGGAAACGUUUCUGCUCUUAAGAAUGAGAAAACCAGUGACUGUCUGCUGAGGUUACAUCUAUCAUGUGUUUUUAAACACACAUAGCCCGAUAACCCAGCAAAUUACCCACCCUGCAAAGAGACAAAGAGAGAUAGUGAUAACAAACAAGCUCACAUUUAUGUAACGCCUUUCACGGAGAUGGAUAGAGAAGUGCUUUGAGAACUCUAUUAACGCAUUCUACAAACUAUCUAAUCUAUUGUAUCCCCACACGUAUUGAGCACAGCUUCGCUCAGGCUUUAUGAGAAAAAUAUCUCCAUUAAGCAACCAGUUUUUGUCGGUCUGCAGAGUGGUCAAUUCAGCCUCUGCAGUGGGCGCAGGAAGGCAGAAAUCUUUACGUUUGGCAGUGACCCGAAGCCACCUUUGGGCUGAAAUGCAGCUGUUUCUUCACAGUCCAAAUUACUUCCACCUUCUUUGCUACCUCUUAUCCAAGAAUGUCAAACGCACACAUUAACUAAACUCUACUGCUGCUGAUUCUUCAAGAAAUGCCCUUUUGUAGCUCAGUGGUGGCACAGAGAAAAGAUGGAACCUGCAGUUUUUCUGCUUCUUGUCACUGCCUCACCUCUUCUCUCUCUCCCCUUUUCUCAGUGAAAUAUUUCCCCUGAUGACAAACCACUGCUUCCACUGAAAG
Molecule: long non-coding RNA, 5815 nt
Organism: Gallus gallus (chicken)
Lineage: Eukaryota; Metazoa; Chordata; Aves; Galliformes; Phasianidae
Source: Ensembl